GUCAGGGUUCUUGUUUUUAUUUUACACCUUGCUUACUUCUAUGGAUGGCUUCUUCCUAGUAUUGGGAAAGGGAUCGCAAUCAAGUGCUCAAAAAAUAGAUUUUGUGGCCGAUAUUUAGUCCCAACUUC
RNAcentral lists this non-coding RNA (128 nucleotides) under Ochromonas sp. CCMP1393. Lineage: Eukaryota; Chrysophyceae; Chromulinales; Chromulinaceae. The record is from RNAcentral.